RNAcentral lists this long non-coding RNA (260 nucleotides) under Capsicum annuum. RNAcentral's name for it is "long non-coding RNA (CANN_LNC019898)". The record is from RNAcentral. Lineage: Eukaryota; Viridiplantae; Streptophyta; Magnoliopsida; Solanales; Solanaceae.
UGGUCACUUGAGAAGUGCAUUAGUGAGUCGAAAAUGUUUUAAGUGUAGUUACUUGAAAGGUGGACUUAUGUUUUGAAUUUAGUUAAGUGUGGUCACUUGAGAAGUGAAUAAGUACAUGAAAAUGUUUAAGUGUAGGUAGUUGAAAUGUGGACUUGUGUUUUGAAUAUAGUUAAGUGUGGUCACUUGAGAAGUGAGUGUAGUCACUUGAGAAGUGCAUUAGUGAGUCGUAAAUGUUUAAGUGUAGUUACUUGAAAGGUGGA